AAUGCACCGGGUGCUGGCGCCCCCGCCCCGCGCUGUCCCUUAGACGGACGCCACGGCUCCGCCUGGCGGGCACCAGCUCCCUCCAGCUUCCCGGGCCCUGGCACGGUUUUCAUGGUCAGUGGUCCGGGGGCGGGGGGGGCGAUUUGCAGCUUCAAAUGGGUGUCUCGGAGGUCUAGGUGGCAAGAGUCGCGCCGCUUAACGGAAAUGCAAUCAAAACGCAGAAAGGGUGAGGCCAGGAACGUCCCGCUGUGCAGCUCAGUGCAGAGCAGUGCUGUGCGCGCAGCAACAGAGUACUCGGUAUUUCAUCGGGACCCCUGUGCCGGGCAGACAGCAGCGCUGGCCCUCUCCUGGAAUGAGGGCGCUUUGGCAAAAGAUUGAGCGCCUUGCAAAUGAAACCCGUUUUCUUAACUGUACCGAGGACAGAACACUGACUCUCGCAAAGGCUUAGGGCUGUAAAAGGAAUGCACACUGUAGGGUCCAUGGAUAAGACAGUUAAAGCCCCCGUGUACUUUACACGUUUUUAUUUAGCUGCUUGGAUGGAAACAACAAGGAUAAGUAAAGUGUCCGCGUGCAAACAUCUAAAACAGCUCACAACUCUAAACGGCAAAUGCGGAGAGCGGCCGAGAAUGUCACCCAAACUGAAGUCAGGGAGUCAGUCCCUGUGAGACGGACCCUCUCCUGUAAUUUGCUUUGCGAGAGGCCCUCUGUGCUGACAGUUGUGCCCACGGAAUCUCACAGAACCGGAAGCAGCAGUGAGCAGGACUCGGGCGCUGGAAGAAGAGAGGAGACUGCAAAGGGAGAGAAAUGUAUAGAAUCGUUCACUUUGCAAAUUACACUGGCAGACAGACACAUGCCUUUGAGUGGUCUCACUCAACAAGAUCAGGAUGUCUGUCUGGGCCUUGGGUCCUUAACCCUCAGGAAGCCAGAAGGGACAGAGGAGCUGAGCGGGAUAAAAGGUCCCUGGGAGGCCCAGGGCCAGGCUGCAUGGCAAGAAGUCUCCGGUGGCAUUUGACAAGGCCCCACGGUCUCCGGCCAUUCCUGAGAGCCGCCAUCCAGUGUGGAUGUCGGGGCUUUCUUUCCCUCCCUCAAGGUCAGAGCCGGGCUACGCUCCCUGCCUGCAGGGGGCCUGGCCCAUUGGCCCUGCCCAAGAGCUUACCUCAUAAGGACAGUCCUGGGGUCAGAGGGAAAACGGAAGUGUCCAGAGCUCUGAUGGCUGAAAUGGAUCUAGGGAACAGACUCUCAGAGGUUGAUACAGGGGAGGGACCUACGCUGGCCAAUCACAGCCCUUCCUUGGGAUGUUUCUAACUAUCCAGGGUGAUGUCUACAAUGUUUAACAACUGGGAGGACGGAAGUGCUGACCAAGCAGAACAGAUCCAGCCGCAGCCAGAGAGCUCUGCCAGAACGUACCAGAAGAGUUAUCCGUCCCGUGUAAGAUCUGCGACUUCCAUGCAAGGUCAGGUACAGACCAUAUGUACAUAAAGGGGCAUCUGGAAGGAUGGGCACCAACAUCAUCAGUGGGGGUGAGACUUGGGGUGAUUUUUUAAACUUUCUCCUUUACGUUUCCUGUAUUGCUUGAAUUUUCGAAAUGAGUAUACUGUGUUUGGAUUUUAAAAAUCAAGUGUUCCUUUACAGAAUGAAGGUAAAUCAGUGAAGGACCCUCCUUCAGAGCAUAGUAAGGAGUCCGAAUCUUUCUCCUGCUUCCUGCUUUCCACACUCCUGCUGGGUACCCUCUAGCAUUAGGGGCUGCAGUGGAGGGUGCUGUGGUCCAGGCCACGGGACCCUGGAGGAUAUACUGAUGUUGUCUGUGCCUCAGUUUCCCGUCUGUAAA
Lynx canadensis (Canada lynx) is the source of this 1828-nucleotide long non-coding RNA. RefSeq lists it as uncharacterized. The transcript is spliced from 3 exons. The record is from RefSeq and is a predicted model, not a curated record. Lineage: Eukaryota; Metazoa; Chordata; Mammalia; Carnivora; Felidae.